This 2141-nucleotide long non-coding RNA is filed under the name Prunus dulcis (almond). Its description in RNAcentral is "sRNA ncRNA". The record is from RNAcentral. Lineage: Eukaryota; Viridiplantae; Streptophyta; Magnoliopsida; Rosales; Rosaceae.
CAUUCAAGAGCCAGAGCGAUCAAUCAAGCACACGCAAACCUUCUUCGCCAUUGCAGCAAUCCCAUACAAGCCCAACAGCCAGACCAUACUUUCCGUCCCAACAAACCCAAGACCAAGCCCCACCGCGAACGACUUCACAGAGACACCACAAAGCUUCGCAGGCCCAUCCCUUUCGUCUCCGAUGUCAAAGAAGUUGAAGACCCAGAAGAAGCCUUGUCUCUCUUCUACGAGUACCACCAAAUGGGCUUCAAGCACGACUACCCUUCUUACUCUGCUCUUCUCUACAAGCUCGCUCGUUCUCGAAACUUUGAAGCCGUCGAGACCAUUCUCGGCCAUGUACGAGAUCGAAACAUUCAUUGCAAAGAUACACUUUUCAUUGCUCUGAUUCAACAUUAUGGGAAGGCCAAUUUGGUAGAGAAAGCCAUUGAGCUUUUUAACCAGAUGCCUUCUUUUAAUUGUGUCCGUACAUUGCAGGCCUUCAAUGCCCUCCUUAAUGUGCUUGUUGAUAGCGGUAGGUUUGUGGAAGCGGAUGAGAUUUUUGGUCGGUGUUCUAAAAUGGGUUUUCGGCCGAAUUCGAUUUCGUAUAAUAUUAUGAUGAAGGGGUGGCUUCAAAAGGGUGACGGGGAAGAAGCUUGCAAGGUUUUUGAUGAAAUGCUUGAGAAAAAAGUGCAACCUAGUGUUGUGACGUAUAAUAGUCUUAUAGGGUUUUUUGGUAGGAAGGGUGAGUUGGAGAAAGCUAAUGGUUUGCUUGAGGACAUGAAACAGAAAGGGAAGUACCCAAAUGCUGUAACAUACGCAUUGUUGAUGAAAGGUUUCUGCAUGCUAGGAAAGCAUGACGAAGCAAAGAAGAUGAUGUUUGAUAUGGAGUAUCGGGGUUGUAAACCACGGCUUCUGAAUUAUGGUGUUUUGAUAAGUGAUCUUGGAAGGAGAGGAAAGAUUGAUGAGGCAAAAUCUUUACUUCAAGAGAUGAAGAAAAGGCUGUUUAAGCCAGAUGUAGUGCUGUAUAACAUAUUGAUUAACUUUCUGUGCAAGGAAGGUAGGGCUGCAGAGGCUUAUAAAGUCUUGAUUGAAAUGCAAGUUGGAGGCUGUGUGCCUAAUGCAGCUACAUACAGGAUGAUGGUUGACGGGUUUUGUCAGAUUGAAGAUUUUGAGGGAGGUUUAAAGGUUUUGAUUGCAAUGUUGACAAGUAGACAUUGUCCUCGUUUAGAAACAUUUGAAUGUUUGGUUACAGGUCUAGUAAAGUGUGGGAAAAUUGAUGAUGCUUGUGUUGUCUUGGAGGAGAUGGAAAAGAGAAAUAUGCAAUUUUGUUUUGAAGCUUGGGAAGCUCUAGUUGUGGAUGCUUGUGGUGAGAAUGUUGUUGCAGGGGAGGUUGUGACUGAACUAAUCUCUGUCCAUUAAUGGUCAUCAAGGAAGAAAUGAACACAUGCCAUUUUGGCGUGACUUCUGUAGCUCUUUCAAGCCCCCCAUCCCGCACGGAGACAACGCAAUAAAGAUUGGUGGCAAGCCCCUUGUCCCACAUUUUUAAUGGGUGCUUUUAGCAAUUAUUGAGCUUUACCAUCCUGGAGAGUCGUGCUAAUAUCGUAUGAUAGUUUAGUUCAAUGGAAAAAGAAAAAAGAAAAACUUUAUCCACAAGAGAAUCAUAGUGCUGCUUGACCCAUGGCUUGGAGCAAGAAGAAAUGUGCUCGUUUGGCUGAUGGGAAGGAUAAAUUUUUUUUCUAAGGUAUUGGAACCUCUAGUCUGUGAUGCUUGUAAAACAGAACUAAGCUAUGCCCACUGGUAGGCUUCACCAGAAAGAGGAAACUUUGUUUAAGAAUUGAAACAUUUCAUCAAUAUAAUGGGUGGUUGAUGCCAAAUGUAGGUUUAAGAAAGCUCACUAUGCUUGCGGUUGUUCAAAUAAAAGUUAGAUAAGCAUGUAAGCUGAGCUAAAUCUAUGACCACUGCAGUAUUCAGGGAAGAGAGGAAGUUUUGUUCAAGAAUCGAACUGUUGAUGCGAGCGAAGUCUUGUUUCUGGGGAAGCUCUAGUUAGGAAUGCUCCUUGUGCAAAUAGAGGUUUGACAGGCAUGUAAAAUUGAAGUUAUCUUUACCCACUUAUGGGCUUCGGGGAAGAGAGGAAGCUUUAUAAAAGUUUGUCAAUAUUUUGG